AGAGCGAACGCUGGCGGCAGGCUUAACACAUACAAGUCGAGCGGGCGUAGCAAUACGUCAGCGGCAGACGGGUGAGUAACGCGUGGGAACGUACCUUUUGGUUCGGAACAACACAGGGAAACUUGUGCUAAUACCGGAUAAGCCCUUACGGGGAAAGAUUUAUCGCCGAAAGAUCGGCCCGCGUCUGAUUAGCUAGUUGGUGAGGUAACGGCUCACCAAGGCGACGAUCAGUAGCUGGUCUGAGAGGAUGAUCAGCCACAUUGGGACUGAGACACGGCCCAAACUCCUACGGGAGGCAGCAGUGGGGAAUAUUGGACAAUGGGCGCAAGCCUGAUCCAGCCAUGCCGCGUGAGUGAUGAAGGCCCUAGGGUUGUAAAGCUCUUUUGUGCGGGAAGAUAAUGACGGUACCGCAAGAUAACGCCCGGCUAACUUCGUGCCAGCAGCCGC
This 447-nucleotide ribosomal RNA is filed under the name uncultured bacterium. RNAcentral describes it as "SSU rRNA". It matches the Rfam family "Bacterial small subunit ribosomal RNA", at positions 26 to 518 of the family's 1533-position model. The record is from RNAcentral.